GACGAACCGUGCGAACGUUAUUCGGAAUCACUGGGCUUAAAGCGCGUGUAGGCGGGACGGCACGUCUGUCGCUGAAAUCCCCCGGCUUAACCGGGGAACUGGCGGAGAUACGACCGUCCUGGAGGGGCGUAGGGGCAUCUGGAACGUUGGGUGGAGCGGUGAAAUGCGUUGAUAUCCAACGGAACUCCGGUGGCGAAGGCGAGGUGCUGGACCCUUUCUGACGCUGAGGCGCGAAAGCCAGGGGAGCGAACGGG
RNAcentral lists this ribosomal RNA (254 nucleotides) under uncultured bacterium. RNAcentral's name for it is "partial 16S ribosomal RNA". It matches the Rfam family "Bacterial small subunit ribosomal RNA", at positions 524 to 776 of the family's 1533-position model. The record is from RNAcentral.